GGAGAAAAUAUUGGAGCACAAGACUGAUAGCCUUGGUUUAAUCAACCUUUCCUGAUUCUUGAGAUAUGAGAAAAUCCUCCAGGUGUAGACAGGGUUGGAGAGGUUAGUUAUAAGAGAAGAAAGAAAAUCCUGCCAGUUUCGAAAGUCUCAGGCUAUGUUCCAAAAUGCUAUAAUGUACAACUGCUCUCCAUGUGCCCCUUUAAUUGGAGCCCAAAGAUCAUGCCACCUACUUUUCUACAGUCAUGCUUAACAGAGGGAGUUCCCCAGAAGCCAAGAGAAGAUAGCCAGAGAUCUUGGACUGAGCCUGCAAUUGUUCAAGUUUGGUUCUACCUACUAGAUGAUGCUGCAUUUAAAAUACAGCAAACUUGGGAUUGGAGCAACCACUAUCUGAAUUUCCCACCAAUGGCCUUUGUAGACGAGGCUCCCAUAUUUGUGGUUGUCUCUUUUCUCCGUCCUCCACCCCCAUUUGCUACCUAUUUACUGGUUGAUUUUGUUUAUUUCUGCCAUGAACAUGAGUGAAGCAAUAUCAUUUGAAAAGCCCCAAUCUAGCACACAGGAAGCUUGUACCCACAUCUGGCCCUGGCAUUAGCUAACCUGUGACCUUGGACAAGUAAUGCACCAUCUCCAGUCUCAUUGUCCUUGCUGUAAAACGAGGGCAUAUCUGUAAUGCCCUUUUCAUUAUAAAACUAUAUAGAAUAAAAAGAAGUAUGAUUCCUCUUCUAUGAUGCUGCAAGAUAAGUGAGGCUAGGCAUAAAUUAUAACAAUGUUUUCAGCAAUCAGAAGAAGUCGUUGUUUUGUCCUUAAAAAAAAUUAAAACUAGCAUGCUGUAUCUUAUCUAGACUCAAACUUA
This is a long non-coding RNA of Suricata suricatta (meerkat), 850 nucleotides long. RefSeq lists it as uncharacterized. The transcript has 2 exons. NCBI's taxonomy places the organism in Eukaryota, Metazoa, Chordata, Mammalia, Carnivora, Herpestidae. The record is from RefSeq and is a predicted model, not a curated record.